RNAcentral lists this ribosomal RNA (253 nucleotides) under uncultured bacterium. RNAcentral's name for it is "partial 16S ribosomal RNA". It matches the Rfam family "Bacterial small subunit ribosomal RNA", at positions 524 to 776 of the family's 1533-position model. The record is from RNAcentral.
UACGUAGGUGACCAGCGUUGUCCGGAAUUAUUGGGCGUAAAGAGCUUGUAGGCGGUUUGUCGCGUCUGCCGUGAAAAUCCGAGGCUCAACCUCGGACUUGCGGUGGGUACGGGCAGACUAGAGUGUGGUAGGGGAGACUGGAAUUCCUGGUGUAGCGGUGAAAUGCGCAGAUAUCAGGAGGAACACCGAUGGCGAAGGCAGGUCUCUGGGCCACUACUGACGCUGAGAAGCGAAAGCAUGGGGAGCGAACAGG